UCAGCUUGGACACAAGGACGUGUGGAUGCGGCCAGCACAGGCUGGUCACGAAGAGCACAGCAAGCAGAGUUUGUGUGGUUUGAGGUCGCUGUCCUGCGUGGGAGCGUCAGAAACCAGCCAGCUCAACCACAGGGCUAAUUUUGCUUUGUGCACAGACCUGGACAUGGUUGACAGUCGUGUCAGGAGAGAGGGCUCCCCUUUUGGUUAAAAAGCAGCCCGCUGCUCCCCAGCAGCUUCGCUGCCUGCCUACUGCCUCAUCUCGCUGUGCAGAGGCCGUGGCCAGGGUGGUGGAUACAGCUGGGACGGAUCAGCUCCUGUAGGCAGCGCGGCCGGCUGUCUUUUUCCGUUGUUCCUUCCCUUGAUCGGAAGGCAUUUGGAGCUAUUCUGUCUACGUGCUGACAUUUUGCAGGACUGUGGGACUGGAAACCUGUGUGCUCUGACUGCCCUUGUGUUUACACUGCAAACUGUCAGCAGAUUUCCCGCUGCCGACCUUCUGCGGGCACUGACAGAGGGAGAGUGCUGCCUGAGCCCAGGCGUGGGUGACUUGGCCUCCCAGCCUCGCUCAGCACCACAGCAAACACCAGCGCUUCAGCCACGGCCAGUGCUUUGGGGUCUGCAGAGGAGGUUCUCGGCACGGAGCGUCCCAGGCAGACACGUCUCUCUGCCCUGUGUUGCCUGCUCUGCUGUGCCUGCAUAGUUGUGAUCAGAGCCCAGCAGUUAACCAAGAAACCAAUAUGGAGCAGGAAUGGAAUCAGUUCCCUUAUAACAGCACUGUGCAGCUGUGAAUGUGCGUCCGCAGGAAGGGAUGGAGCUGCCUUUUCCAGCCUCAGCCUGGCUGUUGCUAGAGGGAGCAGAUUUGUUCAGACUGAGGCAACUACCUAAGUGACUGCAAUUACAUCAUUUGCAUACUGCCUGCCAGGAAGAAAAAGAACACAACAGUAAUUUAUAAGUGUGAUACUACAGUGUCUGGCACCUUUACAGCUAAAAAGGAUCUUCUUUAAGCCCUUUGUUGAAGCAACAUUAAAGGACAGAAGCCAGGAUUCAGAAAAAAUAUAUACUGAAUACUCAGCUCCCCAGUCUCUUUUAAACCAAAGGCUUCUGAUACUUCUGCAAAUCAAGACACUGGAUUAGGUGCAGGAAUAAAAAUUAUUAAGAAAAAAAAAGAAAGAAACUCUUUGUUCUUUAUUAUCUGUUCUAUAAAGGAAAAUGGCUGUA
Phalacrocorax carbo (great cormorant) is the source of this 1215-nucleotide non-coding RNA. The record is from RefSeq and is a predicted model, not a curated record. NCBI's taxonomy places the organism in Eukaryota, Metazoa, Chordata, Aves, Suliformes, Phalacrocoracidae.